RNAcentral lists this long non-coding RNA (1097 nucleotides) under Sus scrofa (pig). Its description in RNAcentral is "lncRNA (ENSSSCG00045003542.1)". The record is from RNAcentral. Lineage: Eukaryota; Metazoa; Chordata; Mammalia; Artiodactyla; Suidae.
UAAUAUGUAUUUGUUGUGAAGAAAAGAGGGCCGAGUUUUCGGCUGAGGGCUUAUUCCUCUUCCUCAGAAUGCAAGAAAAACACAGAAAGAGGAAAAUUAUGACCUAAUGCAAAAUUUCCUUCAAGGCAACUAUGUUUAUUUCAUGGUAGGAAGCAGCUGACAACGAGGUUUGAGUUACAGGAGAGAAGCAUAUUUGUCUCCCAGCCAAGUGGCUUUAAAUGCCUCUAUCAUCAAAGGAGGAACCAAGCUGCACCUCACAUCUAUGCAACUUAAGCAUAAAGAGGCUGGAUCAUCUGCAUAGUAUACUAACAACCCAGAUAUUUGAGGUGACAUCUAUUUCAAAUUGGGAUUCUGCAACAAAUUAUGAAGGGAAUACCAUUUAAAAAACUCUGAAACUCAUGGACUUGGAGAACAGACAUGUGGUUGCCUAGGGGGAGGGAGAGGGAGUGGGAUGGACUUGGAGUUCAGGGUUAGUAGAUGCAAACUAUUGUAUCUGGAGUGGAUAAGCAAUGAAAUCCUGCUGUAUAGCCCAGGUAACUAUAUCUAGCCACUUGUGAUGGAACAUGAUGGAGGAUAAUGUGAGAAAAAGAAUGUAUAUAUAUGUGUGACUGAGUCACUUUGUUGUACAGUGGAAAUUGACAGAACAUUGUAAAUCAACUAUAAUAGAAAAAAUAAAAAUCUUAAGAAAAACCCAACAACUCUGAAAGCCUCUGGAAACAUGUAGAUCAUCCCAUUCUAGAAGUCAGUAAGGGCUAAGUACUUAUGUCUAUUGUGAACAUGUUUUUGUUCGGUUUUUGAUUUUUUUUUUUUUUUUGGCUGCGCCAACAUUAUAUAGAAGUUCCCAGGCCAGGGAUCAAACCCACACCACAGUAGUGACCCAAGAUAUUGCAGUGACAAUGCUGGAUCCUCAACCUGCUGUGCCAAAAGAGAACUUCUGCAAAUGCUGAUGUUAAGUGUUGGCAUUUACCAGAGAAGGAUAUACAGUGAACAACCUCUUUAGGGUGUUACAUUUUCCAUACUUCCCCAAAUUUCUAUUCUCUUCCUCUUUUUCUAGGCUCCAAACUCAUGUUUAUAUUCCUCAUGUAUCUUGUUCCAUC